Molecule: long non-coding RNA, 1216 nt
Filed under: Salvator merianae (Argentine black and white tegu)
Lineage: Eukaryota; Metazoa; Chordata; Lepidosauria; Squamata; Teiidae
Description: lncRNA (ENSSMRG00000016337.1)
Source: RNAcentral
UAGGGCCUGUGGGGGCUGAUUUCUCAAGCCAGUAAGCUCUUGACAUACCCUGGGGUUGAUGCAAGUUAAGUUUGCAGGCAAGCAUUUUUAUCCUGGCAGAAGGAGUUUUGCAAACCACCUGGGUGACAAUGCCCCCUUUUCCAAAUCCCUCCAUGCCUCCUUGUGGGGACCCCUCCUGGAUGGGCCUUUCAGUCUUGUUGGGCACCUUGACUGACAGUGAACUCCCCAGGACAGAGUACAGCUGAAAUGUGGCACGGUGGGCAAACGCCACCACCUGGGUCCUGGCAGAACAUGGGACCAACAUCAGGAUGGACUCUUUGGACCAACCAAGCAGAACAUUGAAUCCACACCAGUCAUAAGCAAUUGAUGCAAGGAAUAUUGAUAAACCCCGAAUAUCACACAGUACAAUAAUACUGAAUGUAUUAAAAAUCUUGAUAAAAAUAGCAAUCCCAAUAAGAAAGUAUUCAAUUUUUCCCAUGCUUGAAGUCAUUAACUCUCCUUUUCCCCUCACCACUAUNAGUUCCUGGAGAGUGACCAGCCAUACCAAUGGUGCCUUGUGUAUACCUGAUCCAUAAUUCCCCCCAUUCAGAAGAGGAUCUGAACACCCUGAAGGUGCUGCAGGACAAGAUUUUCCAGACUACCAUUAGGACAGGGACAGACGUGAUGAAGUGGCCUCCCUUCCCUGUGCUGAAAGCUCCACAAUUGGUGGUGACUCUUGAGCAAAGACAGAGAGAAGACGACACUUCUUUUUCCUCCAUUUUAAAGGCAAAGCUGCACUCCACCUGGAUUCACCUCUCAGUGGUUUCAUAGACAUGUCCACACACAGUCCUCGUGACAACAAUACUGAGNCAGCUGAUGAACUUUCUCAGGAGGUGGUGCCAAGACUACUGGCUGGCUGCAUGAACUGCAGCCAAGACAUGGGUUGGAGUUGCUGAGUAUAUCAAACAAGAGAGCUUCAGGUCAAGAACAGCAAGCAAAUUGAUAGCCCGGCUGUCCCUCAGGAAUGGUGAACGGGCAGAGCUGGGGGUUCCUUUCCCAGCAUGCAGUGGGGCUUGCUCUGCAUUGCCAGCCCUGUGAGACUAUUUACAAGGCAGCAGAACCCAUGGCAUUGGGCUUCAAGCCAAUAAUGCUCCUUUAAUGCGUUCUCUUAACUUCAAGGAAAAUUCUGGUUCUCAGGGAAAAUAAAUGCAAUAAACCCACCUUAGCUGCUAGAAAG